This 307-nucleotide ribosomal RNA is filed under the name Salmonella enterica subsp. enterica serovar Gatineau. Its description in RNAcentral is "partial 23S ribosomal RNA". It matches the Rfam family "Bacterial large subunit ribosomal RNA", at positions 492 to 700 of the family's 2925-position model. The record is from RNAcentral. Lineage: Bacteria; Pseudomonadati; Pseudomonadota; Gammaproteobacteria; Enterobacterales; Enterobacteriaceae.
GAACCAGUACCGUGAGGGAAAGGCGAAAAGAACCCCGGCGAGGGGAGUGAAAAAGAACCUGAAACCGUGUACGUACAAGCAGUGGGAGCCCCACCACUAAGCCAGUGGUGAGUUCCACAUACGCAUCCUUUGCUGAAGGUGCGGUUAACGGAGCGCAAGCGACGUUCAACCUCAAAAGAAGCAGAGGGGGCUUAGUGGUGGGGUGACUGCGUACCUUUUGUAUAAUGGGUCAGCGACUUAUAUUCUGUAGCAAGGUUAACCGUAUAGGGGAGCCGUAGGGAAACCGAGUCUUAACCGGGCGUUAAGU